RNAcentral lists this long non-coding RNA (1782 nucleotides) under Lynx pardinus (Iberian lynx). Lineage: Eukaryota; Metazoa; Chordata; Mammalia; Carnivora; Felidae. The record is from RNAcentral.
CGGCGGGGCUCGGUAACGAUGCCUGCAUUGGUUGGCAACCUCCAUGAGGGGGGUGUGUGUUCGUGUCUCUUCCUAGGACUCCACAGGAAUCACGUUCGUGUGUUUAAGCUGCAACCAACACAGUUGUUAGGACGAUCGUCGCAGCCAUCAGGUGCUUGUGUUGUUUAUGAAGUGCUGGGCCAGUUGCUGGGCACCGGACAACAGAACGUUCUUUGAUACCGGAAAGGUCCUGUAUCUGCCCUGUCCAGCAGGGGAGCCACCAGCCUCCUGUGAGCCUCUACCGUGGGGACUGGAUCUCCCACCUCCGGGAAGCACCGGGUAAGUCCUGGCUGUGGGGGAACAGACAUCCCCUUCUGUUGAGUUGACAGGCGCAGGCAGCGGGGAGCAGAACUGACCUCCAAACGGCACGGCUGGCUUUGCUCUACGAGGAGUCCCGUCCCUCCACGUCCCACCCCCUUCCCGGGACCUGGCACGUGGGCACUGAUUGGACAUUUGGCACUCGAGGCCGCUCCGCUCGCCAGCUCCCACCCACCUGCCUCCCUCCCUCCUCAAUUAACUCAGCAGCAGCGACUUUGUUUCCCUUUGCCAAGAUCGGGAGCUGGCAUCCCGGCAUGUGCCAGCCCCAGUGGGGUGGAGGUGACGGGCGCCACACGCCUGGCACUGCCCCUCAUCGGAGCAGCCUCCCCGCUACAGAACCUCAGGUCCCUGGGGAGCUGCCGGCUGGCCGGGCGACAGGCCCCGGGCUCAGGGAUCUGCGUGGUAGUUAAGCCUGAGUUGAGUUAGUGCAGGCUGGGUUGUGGCUCCUCCCAGGAUCUGCCAAGGGCGGGCGGGCAGGGGACGUCUCCAUCCUGGGAAGGGCUGGCCGGCAGCCCAGGGGGCGGGGCGGGACGGGAGAGGGAGAAGGAGGGGCAGAGGCUCCUCUCCAAUUAACAGGGGAGGGAGGGUGGGGCCCCCCCUGUUGUGUCCUCAGAGGGCUCCUCCAGGCUCUGCCGGCUAAACCUCUGUGGCCCCUCUGUCCCAGGCCUGCCAUCGAGGCAUCCGUCUUCCGUGCACUCACCUGCGGGGAGGUGUGGGCGGAUGAGCAGCCUCCCAAGCCCCGAGCCCAGCCCCCAAGUCCCAACCCCCCGGGGGCUGCAUUUUGAACAAUUCCCCCAAGGUGACCCUGAAGCCGUGGUCCGCGGGCCACGUUCUGAGAACACUGCCCUAGUCCUCCCACCAGGGAGUGGCCGGGCUGGAGGGGACCCCUGCCUCAGCUGGUCCAGGCCCCGGUGGUAUAGACUUGUAGACAGAGGCCCAGAGACCGAGCGGGGCGACCCAUGGCAGCUGGCCACACGGUGCGGGCUGAAGUCGAGGAAAGAGCUCCAGACUCUCCUCUGCAUCCCACAGCCAGGACCGAGUGCCGAGACAGAAGGCGACCCCGGGGGAGUCGUGCGGACACUCCACUGCCCCUAAACGUCCAGGAGGUGAGGUGCCUAUCCAAGAGAAGGGCUGAGUCCCUGGGGACCAUGCCCAGACCCCCUCCCCCCACCCGAACCACCUGACCGCGGAGAAGCCACCUGACCUCGGCCUGUCCCAACCCUGCAGGUGACCCUUCCUGGCCCAGGUGACCCUGACCGGGGCCCAGAGGCCCUGCUCUGACAGGCAGAUGCUACCUGGGAGACAGGGCCAGCGCGGACACAGGACUGUGGGACAGUGUGCCUGUCAGUAUGGUUCCUCUGCUCGCCCCUAAAAUGGCCCCUGGUGGCUGAAGGAAUAAACGCGGAGAAGUACCUGGCACACGGA